UGCAGAUAAAAGUUAUACACAUAAAAACAUGUAUUUUUAAGAGCUAGGUGUGGUGGCACACAUUUCUAAUCUCAGCAUUGGAAAGACGGAGAUGAAGAAACCCUUAGAGCUUUCUGGCCAGCCAGCCUAGCCUAAGUGGCCAGUGAGGGAUCUUAUUUUAGAAAGAAAGAAAGAAAGAAAGAAAGAAAGAAAGAAAGAAAGAAAGAAAGAAAGAAAGGAAGGAAGGAAGGAAGGAAGGAAGGAAGGAAGGAAGGAAGAAAGAAAGAAAGAAAGAAAGAAAGAAAGAAAGAAAGAAAGAAAGAAAGAAAGGAGGGAAGGAAGGAAGGAAGGAAAGAAAGAAACAAAGAAAGAAGGAAAAGCACCAGAGGAACAACACUCAAGAUUGACUUCCGGCCUCCACACAUAUACCUACCCACAUACAUGUGUACCUGCAUGCCUAUGAAUACACACAGAGAGAAAUAAAUAAAAAAUAGAAUGGAAUAGAGUAGAAGAGAGAGCUACGAAUCAUAAAGCCUGACAUUGUGAUAAACUGACAAGUUUAGAGGCUGGAGAGAUGGCUCAGUGGCUAAGAGCACAUCCUGCUCUUGCAGAGGACCCAGGCCCUAUACCCAGCACCCGCAUGGGUGCUCGCAAACACCCAUGUAAGUCUAGCCUCAAGGGAUCCAACACCAUCUUCUGACCUCCAAGGACACCUGGCAUGUGGUACACAAACAUACA
Molecule: long non-coding RNA, 717 nt
Filed under: Rattus norvegicus (Norway rat)
Lineage: Eukaryota; Metazoa; Chordata; Mammalia; Rodentia; Muridae
Description: long non-coding RNA NONRATT000194
Source: RNAcentral